GGUAGGACCUGAGACAUCCUGACUCAAUGUUUGUCCUGAUGGGCUAGAGUUCUCAAAGAGAAUUUGCUGGUAUUGGCUUGCUGAAUUUUACCCAAAUCAUAAAUAUAA
RNAcentral lists this small nucleolar RNA (108 nucleotides) under Urocitellus parryii (Arctic ground squirrel). RNAcentral's name for it is "Small nucleolar RNA SNORA3/SNORA45 family (ENSUPAG00010005997.1)". The record is from RNAcentral. Lineage: Eukaryota; Metazoa; Chordata; Mammalia; Rodentia; Sciuridae.